Molecule: long non-coding RNA, 3257 nt
Organism: Xiphophorus couchianus (Monterrey platyfish)
Lineage: Eukaryota; Metazoa; Chordata; Actinopteri; Cyprinodontiformes; Poeciliidae
Exons: 2
Source: RefSeq, a predicted model, not a curated record
UUAACAUUAUAAACACCUGACAUUUAAAAACAAACAGCAAAACACUAAGAACAUUUUGUAGUCUGAUGAAAAUUACGAACAAAAACUAAUGAAUCAUGUUUCUAUUGUGUCCAACAGCAGUUGUGGUGCAACCCACAGCAUCUACAUUUACCAGAAUGAUACAGGAAAUGAUGUGAGAGUGAAACUGGCAGGUGCUUCCUGUAAAAAACUAAAACAUAAAACUAAAUGAAGGCUUGGCUGUUCCCUUGACGGCCUCGAGAGUGUGGUGCAGCUCCAGUUCACAUCUCCGAGCGGCGCUGGAUGAAUUUAAACUACAGCGCAGCGUGAGGCUAUUAAUAGCUCCUUUGCUGUGUGAGACAACAAUGAGCCGACAUGCUCACAAUAAGCGCACUGUAGCUGUGGAGAUGCACGAAGGCUACAUGGAUUAGGACCGGGUCCCUUGUGAUCCGGGACAUUAGAUCUGCUCUUUGACACUGCAGCAAGGCAGAAUGAGAGCAGGGAGGCCAUAUGGUCCGUAGGAGAGGACUUUAAUUUGGACAUGUUCAGAGGGAAAACAUACAUGCUUCUUGUGGAUUCUUUCUAAGACUUAAGGCAGGGUUUUUCUGCAGGUUCCACAAACUCAAAUUUAAGAUUUCUUAAAACCGUUAUGAGUGAAACUUAAGAGCUACUGUAUGUCUCAACAGAAAUGUAGGAAUUUCGUCCAGCCAACCGGCGAUAAACUUGCACCAAGAUAGAUGCAAAAUAAGCUAGUUAGCUAGCUGUUAGCAGCGUCACAGAAUGCAGUGAAGAUGUUGCUUGAGAUAUUAAGCAAAAGGUUGAGACUUUUCUCAGGAGAGAAAGAAAAUACAUAAAAUAUACAAUUAAUUAGUCCUGCCAAGACAAAAUUUAAGACCUGUGAUUAACAUAUUUACUUUUUAAAAUUAAUUUAAGAUAUUUUAAGGAUCUGUGGACAUCCUGCAAGAGUUGAAAUAAGUUCCUGAAAGAUAGCUGUGUCUCUCCUUCCUGCUUUCUGCUCUUUUAAGAUCGAGAGAAAAACUAUUUUUACUUUGAGCCAUCUGUUGUUGCACGAUAGGGUUUGUCCAGUGAUCAGUAUUGAACAUUUCUGGGCAUCUUAUUCCACAAACAACACCGCCUCAAUGACAAGACGCACUCUGAGGGUCUUCUGUUGAGCUGAUCAGCUGUUAAACAUCUGCGCUCCCACUGUAGUUUUGUUUCUGUCACCUUCCUCAUCUCGUCCCCUCUCUGCCCCGACACUCAGGUUCUGCUGUGGGCAAAAUCACAGGACUGCCACAGCUAGCUUUGGAUGGACGCUUUGAGGGGUUGCUGUGGUGAAGGUAGUUGCUAUGGUGGCCCUCUCCCAGGGGGAAGCUUUUUUUUGUGAUGGGUGUCGGUACAAAGCCAAAGGCUAGGCCACAGCAUCAAUAAUGAGAAAGGGGGAGGUGAAUAUAUUUUUCCCAUGGUAAGGAUUCAUGAAACAUUUAAAAACUAGAUGAAGUGACAGCAGCUCUGGACUGAAAUGUCUAAAAAUAUUUAUUUUUCCUCACAAACCCUCAGGAGACAUCUGAGAGGGAGCGAGUGAGGCAGAAGGAGCACAAAGACAGAAGACUGUGGAGCAAAAAUGGCACAAGGAGGAUUGGCUGGUGGCCAGAACCAGAUGGUCCUCAACGGCUGGUUGGCAGCUUAAAAACCCCAUCCUUGUCUGGCAAGUGAACACAUCAUAUCAAAAUGUGUAGCUGUUGAAUAGCAAGAAUCAAAUAAUGAAUUAAGUAACCUAGAUCAAAUGCAGAUUCCUUAGAGGACAGUUUGUGUGCUUUCCUGUGCUUAUUAAAAUUUGAAUAAUUAUAAGUUUUGAAUCUUUGUUUGGUCUUUAAGACCCAGUUAAAGUGCCAAAGGUCCAGUUUAACGUGGACCUAAAGUUGCCUGGAGGUUGUAAAAUGAGCCUAUUAUUAUUUUUUUGAUCUAUCAGAACAAAAAUAAAGCUUGUGAAUAAAUUAUAAAUAAGUGUAAAAUCCCUGCAUUUAUUAAUCAGUUUAGACUUUUGCCCUUUAGAGUGAAAGCUGGAAAAAUGUCUGGAAAUCAAACAUUAACCAUAUUUAAUUUUCUUUUUUUUAAUGACUUAUCAUACAGGAAAGCAGGGUAGGUUUCCGCCUCCCUUUCAUUUUGGAUACCGUCUAUAUUUCAUGUUUGCCUUUUAUUGUGGAAUUCAUUAAUAUCAUUAAUAAGGAAAUUUAAAUAUAUCAAUUUAAAUUGUUUCUAGUUUCUAGAAACAAGUUUCUAGUGGCAUUUUCUAGUGGCAAAAUGAUAAAAGCUAAUUCCAUACUUUUCCACGCUGCAUAGGAUCAACAACACUCUUCAGUGUAGAAGCUGAGUGAAGAUGACUCAAAGCUAGCAAUUUUCAGUAUUUCACUGAGGGGUUUAAAAUCAAUUAACCCUCACAUCACCUCUGCUGCUAAACUAAGGAGGGCUCAUAGUGGGAUGUAUGGAAAAACAUAUUUUAAAUUAAUUUCUUCUAUCUUCCUACAUUAAGAACCUGAUGGAAAAGCUUUACAAAAAGUGCAGAUCAAACAGAAAUCAGCUCAAAACUAAAGGCUUAAGGUGCAUUUCAAACCUACUAUCAAACUAUCAAAUACCACACUUGCUGUGAAAUAUUAAGCGGAUAAAGAAAAAAGAACAGCUUAAAGAUGUAAAGUAUCUUUCGUUGUAUUAAGGAACCUUGUAUUAAUGUUUCAUUAAUGCAACAGUGCGUUCACUGUUGCAUUAAUGGACCCAAACCAAGUGAAAACUAUGAAGGAUGUUCUGUUCUGAUAUGUGCGAUUACUACUACUGUGUUGGCAUUGCAUAAUUAAUCUGCUGUUUAAAGAAUUAUUCUUCACAGCAAACCAUCUCAAAGGAAAUCAGACGACAUUAAAGUGAACCAUGUCUGUGUGUCUGAAGUGGCAACUUGGCAAUUGAGUUUUUUUUUGUUUAUUACUGGCACGACUUGUGGAAAAUAGCUCCACUUCCUUUUCCCAGUCAGAACACUGUACUUAUUUUUUUUUUAAGAAAAAUAUUGAAAAAUUCUAACUAGCAGCUAAGAUUAGGUCUUACACAAAAGAUAAACAUGAUAAAUCAUUGAUCUUAUCAGUGCUGGCUUCUCUCAGAUGGACAUGUUACAAUGGCUUGUUUAUUUUUUUCUUCAGCAUUGGAAAGAGCUUGUUUUCAUACUGACACUUUGAACCAAUCAUGUAAAGGGCAAAAUAAACACACUUCAAUUUAAA